ACAACAGUUGGAAACGACUGCUAAUACCGCAUAAGCCCACGGUGCUGCAUGGCACUGCGGGAAAAGGAUUUAUUCGCUUCAGGAUGGACUCGCGUCCAAUUAGCUAGUUGGUGAGGUAACGGCCCACCAAGGCGACGAUUGGUAGCCGGACUGAGAGGUUGAACGGCCACAUUGGGACUGAGACACGGCCCAGACUCCUACGGGAGGCAGCAGUGGGGGAUAUUGCACAAUGGGGGAAACCCUGAUGCAGCGACGCCGCGUGGAGGAAGAAGGUUUUCGGAUUGUAAACUCCUGUCGUUAGGGACGAUAAUGACGGUACCUAACAAGAAAGCACCGGCUAACUACGUGCCAGCAGCCGCGGUAAAACGUAGGGUGCAAGCGUUGUCCGGAAUUACUGGGUGUAAAGGGAGCGCAGGCGGACCGGCAAGUUGGAAGUGAAAACUAUGGGCUCAACCCAUAAAUUGCUUUCAAAACUGCUGGCCUUGAGUAGUGCAGAGGUAGGUGGAAUUCCCGGUGUAGCGGUGGAAUGCGUAGAUAUCGGGGGGAACACCAGUGGCGAAGGCGACCUACUGGGCACCAACUGACGCUGAGGCUCGAAAGCAUGGGUAGCAAACAGGAUUAGAUACCCUGGUAGUCCAUGCCGU
Molecule: ribosomal RNA, 644 nt
Filed under: uncultured bacterium
Lineage: Bacteria
Description: bacterial SSU rRNA
Rfam family: Bacterial small subunit ribosomal RNA
Source: RNAcentral